RNAcentral lists this ribosomal RNA (263 nucleotides) under uncultured bacterium. RNAcentral's name for it is "partial 16S ribosomal RNA". It matches the Rfam family "Bacterial small subunit ribosomal RNA", at positions 793 to 1055 of the family's 1533-position model. The record is from RNAcentral.
GUCCAUGCCGUAAACGAUGUCAACUAGCCGUUGGGGACCUUGAGUCUUUAGUGGCGCAGCUAACGCGAUAAGUUGACCGCCUGGGGAGUACGGCCGCAAGGUUAAAACUCAAAUGAAUUGACGGGGGCCCGCACAAGCGGUGGAGUAUGUGGUUUAAUUCGAUGCAACGCGAAGAACCUUACCUGGCCUUGACAUAUCCGGAACCCUGCAGAGAUGCGGGGGUGGCCUUCGGGAAUCGGAUACAGGUGCUGCAUGGCUGUCGU